RNAcentral lists this long non-coding RNA (337 nucleotides) under Vigna radiata. Its description in RNAcentral is "long non-coding RNA (VRAD_LNC001343)". The record is from RNAcentral. Lineage: Eukaryota; Viridiplantae; Streptophyta; Magnoliopsida; Fabales; Fabaceae.
UUAGUUCAUGUGGUGAGAGUAGUAGGGGGUCCUAGUCUUGGUUGUCUCCAUUUUAUAUGGGCCAAGGUGAGUGAUAACGGACUAACCUUGUGGUGGUAGGGUGGAACCCAUAGCAAUUGGCUUUGCAAAGCAGUAGAGGCCACCACAAGUGCAUAACCCGCCAUAGCUCGAUGUUCAUUCCGGGUCCGGACGAGUCUAAGUCUAACACCACUUAAUAAAACCACAACUCAUAACUUAAUUAAAUUGUUCUUCCAUGCUUGUAAUUCUUGAAUGCCUCUUUUAGUUUGAUAAUCUCUUAGUUAACUUGUUUCCUUUUGAAAUCUAGCUUACCCUUGCU